UAGGGAAUCUUCGGCAAUGGGGGCAACCCUGACCGAGCAACGCCGCGUGAGUGAAGAAGGUUUUCGGAUCGUAAAGCUCUGUUGUAAGAGAAGAACGUGUGUGAGAGUGGAAAGUUCACACAGUGACGGUAACUUACCAGAAAGGGACGGCUAACUACGUGCCAGCAGCCGCGGUAAUACGUAGGUCCCGAGCGUUGUCCGGAUUUAUUGGGCGUAAAGCGAGCGCAGGCGGUUUAAUAAGUCUGAAGUUAAAGGCAGUGGCUUAACCAUUGUUCGCUUUGGAAACUGUUAAACGUGGGUGCAGAAGGGGAGAGUGGAAUUCCAUGUGUAGCGGUGAAAUGCGUAGAUAUAUGGAGGAACAACAGUGGCGAAAGCGGCUCUCUGGUCUGUAACUGACGCUGAGGCUCGAAAGCGUGGGGAGCAAACAGG
RNAcentral lists this ribosomal RNA (429 nucleotides) under bacterium. RNAcentral's name for it is "partial 16S ribosomal RNA". It matches the Rfam family "Bacterial small subunit ribosomal RNA", at positions 355 to 776 of the family's 1533-position model. The record is from RNAcentral.